UAAUACGGAGGGCGCAAGCGUUGUUCGGAAUCACUGGGCAUAAAGAGCACGUAGGCUGUUCAAUCAGUCGGAUGUGAAAUCCCCCGGCUCAACCGGGGAAAUGCAUUCGAUACUAUUGAGCUAGAGGACAGGAGGGGUGAGUGGAACUCCAGGUAGAACGGUGAAAUGUGUAGAUAUCUGGAGGAACACCGGUGGCGAAAGCGGCUCACUGGCCUGUCUCUGACGCUGAGGUGCGAAAGCUAGGGUAGCGAACGGGAUUAGAUACCCCGGUAGUCCUAGCCGUAAACGAUGGGCACUAGGCAAUGGGUUUUCCCUAUGGGACUCAUUGCCGUAGCAAAUGUGUUAAGUGCCCCGCCUGGGGAGUACGCUCGCAAGGGUA
Molecule: ribosomal RNA, 379 nt
Filed under: uncultured Planctomycetota bacterium
Lineage: Bacteria; Pseudomonadati; Planctomycetota
Description: bacterial SSU rRNA
Rfam family: Bacterial small subunit ribosomal RNA
Source: RNAcentral